Molecule: ribosomal RNA, 464 nt
Filed under: uncultured bacterium
Lineage: Bacteria
Description: partial 16S ribosomal RNA
Rfam family: Bacterial small subunit ribosomal RNA
Source: RNAcentral
CCUACGGGAGGCAGCAGUAGGGAAUUUUCGGCAAUGGGGGGAACCCUGACCGAGCAACGCCGCGUGAAGGAAGAAGGAAUUCGUUCUGUAAACUUCUGUUAUAAGGGAAGAAAGACGGAUGGAGGAAAUGACAUUCGAGUGACGGUACUUUAUGAGAAAGCCACGGCUAACUACGUGACAGCAGCCGCGGUAAUACGUAGGUGGAAAGGUUUAUCCGGAAUUAUUGGGCGUAAGGAGGGAUAAGGUGGCAGCAAAGGUCUGUGGUGAAAGACUGAAGCUUAACUUCAGUAAGCAGUAGAAACCGGGCAGCUAGAGUGCAGGAGAGGAACGUGGAAGUCCAAGUGUAGCGGUGAAAUGCGUAGAUAUAAGGAGGAACACCAGUGGCGAAGGCGACGAUCUGGCCUGCAACUGACGCUCAGUCGCGAAAGCGUGGGGAGCAAAUAGGAUUAGAUACCCCGGUAGUC